GCCAGGGAACUACGAGCCAAGCUUAAAACCCAAAGGACUUGACGGUACCCCAUAUCCCCCUAGAGGAGCCUGUCCUAUAAUCGAUAAUACCCGCUAAACCUCACCAUUUUUAGCUUCUCAGCCUGUAUACCUCCGUCGUCAGCUUACCUCGUGAGCGCAAUUCAGUGAGCCUAAUGUAUAUUCAUCAACACGUCAGGUCAAGGUGCAGUAAAUAAAAUGGGAAGAGAUGGGCUACACUCUCUAACAUAGAAAAUACGAAAGACUAUUUAUGAAAUUUAGUCAGAAGGCGGAUUUAGAAGUAAAAAGAGAUCAUAGUGCUCUUUUUAACUCGGCACUGGGGUGUGUACACACCGCCCGUCAUCCUCUUCAAAGCCAAUAGACAGUAAUUAACCCACCUUAGCAUCUUAGAAGAGGCAAGUCGUAACAUGGUAAGCGUACCGGAAGGUGUGCUUGGAAA
RNAcentral lists this ribosomal RNA (457 nucleotides) under Isthmohyla lancasteri (Lancaster's treefrog). Its description in RNAcentral is "partial 12S ribosomal RNA". It matches the Rfam family "Bacterial small subunit ribosomal RNA", at positions 871 to 1522 of the family's 1533-position model. Lineage: Eukaryota; Metazoa; Chordata; Amphibia; Anura; Hylidae. The record is from RNAcentral.